GACGAACGCUGGCGGCGCGCCUAACACAUGCAAGUCGAACGAGAGAUGAGGAGCUUGCUCUUCAAAUCGAGUGGCGAACGGGUGAGUAACGCGUGAGGAACCUGCCUCAAAGAGGGGGACAACAGUUGGAAACGACUGCUAAUACCGCAUAAGCCCACGGCUCGGCAUCGAGCAGAGGGAAAAGGAGCAAUCCGCUUUGAGAUGGCCUCGCGUCCGAUUAGCUAGUUGGUGAGGUAACGGCCCACCAAGGCGACGAUCGGUAGCCGGACUGAGAGGUUGAACGGCCACAUUGGGACUGAGACACGGCCCAGACUCCUACGGGAGGCAGCAGUGGGGAAUAUUGCACAAUGGGGGAAACCCUGAUGCAGCGACGCCGCGUGGAGGAAGAAGGUCUUCGGAUUGUAAACUCCUGUUGUUGAGGAAGAUAAUGACGGUACUCAACAAGGAAGUGACGGCUAACUACGUGCCAGCAGCCGCGGUAAAACGUAGGUCACAAGCGUUGUCCGGAAUUACUGGGUGUAAAGGGAGCGCAGGCGGGAGAACAAGUUGGAAGUGAAAUCCAUGGGCUCAACCCAUGAACUGCUUUCAAAACUGUUUUUCUUGAGUAGUGCAGAGGUAGGCGGAAUUCCCGGUGUAGCGGUGGAAUGCGUAGAUAUCGGGAGGAACACCAGUGGCGAAGGCGGCCUACUGGGCACCAACUGACGCUGAGGCUCGAAAGUGUGAGUAGCAAACAGGAUUAGAUACCCUGGUAGUCCACACCGUAAACGAUGAUUACUAGGUGUUGGAGGAUUGACCCCUUCAGUGCCGCAGUUAACACAAUAAGUAAUCCACCUGGGGAGUACGACCGCAAGGUUGAAACUCAAAGGAAUUGACGGGGGCCCGCACAAGCAGUGGAGUAUGUGGUUUAAUUCGACGCAACGCGAAGAACCUUACCAAGUCUUGACAUCCCUUGACGAUGCUGGAAACAGUAUUUCUCUUCGGAGCAAGGAGACAGGUGGUGCAUGGUUGUCGUCAGCUCGUGUCGUGAGAUGUUGGGUUAAGUCCCGCAACGAGCGCAACCCUUAUGGUCAGUUACUACGCAAGAGGACUCUGGCCAGACUGCCGUUGACAAAACGGAGGAAGGUGGGGAUGACGUCAAAUCAUCAUGCCCUUUAUGACUUGGGCUACACACGUACUACAAUGGCGUUAAACAAAGAGAAGCAAGACCGCGAGGUGGAGCAAAACUCAGAAACAACGUCCCAGUUCGGACUGCAGGCUGCAACUCGCCUGCACGAAGUCGGAAUUGCUAGUAAUCGUGGAUCAGCAUGCCACGGUGAAUACGUUCCCGGGCCUU
This 1333-nucleotide ribosomal RNA is filed under the name uncultured bacterium. RNAcentral's name for it is "bacterial SSU rRNA". It matches the Rfam family "Bacterial small subunit ribosomal RNA", at positions 28 to 1382 of the family's 1533-position model. The record is from RNAcentral.